CGCCAAUGUUUUCACGCUUUUGCUGGCUGUAGUCGAUUCCAUCUCCUGAAUUAGCUGCAGAGAGAAAAGGCAAAAGGUCCAUAUAAAGCAGCACACAAGGUGAAAAAUGAUGGAGAAAACAAAACAAAUACUUCACGACAACUACCUGAGAUGCAGGGAGAAGUCUUCCAAAACAAAGCUGGAUCAGGGUCCUUAUCUGCCAUCCAACUCAAUGUUCCAUUGUAUAAAAUCAUAAUAAAUGAGCCAAUGGUA
This is a long non-coding RNA of Xenopus laevis (African clawed frog), 252 nucleotides long. RefSeq lists it as uncharacterized. Lineage: Eukaryota; Metazoa; Chordata; Amphibia; Anura; Pipidae. The record is from RefSeq and is a predicted model, not a curated record. The transcript has 2 exons.